GGGUGAGGAAUACAUCGGAAUCUGCCUUAUCGUGGGGGAUAACGUAGGGAAACUUACGCUAAUACCGCAUACGACCUACGGGUGAAAGCGGGGGAUCGCAAGACCUCGCGCGAUAAGAUGAGCCGAUGUCGGAUUAGCUAGUUGGCGGGGUAAAGGCCCACCAAGGCGACGAUCCGUAGCUGGUCUGAGAGGAUGAUCAGCCACACUGGAACUGAGACACGGUCCAGACUCCUACGGGAGGCAGCAGUGGGGAAUAUUGGACAAUGGGCGCAAGCCUGAUCCAGCCAUGCCGCGUGGGUGAAGAAGGCCUUCGGGUUGUAAAGCCCUUUUGUCCGGAAAGAAAAGCACUGGAUUAAUACUUCGGUGUUCUGACGGUACCGGAAGAAUAAGCACCGGCUAACUUCGUGCCAGCAGCCGCGGUAAUACGAAGGGUGCAAGCGUUACUCGGAAUUACUGGGCGUAAAGCGUGCGUAGGUGGUUCGUUAAGUCUGAUGUGAAAGCCCUGGGCUCAACCUGGGAAUUGCACUGGAUACUGGCGGGCUAGAGUGCGGUAGAGGAUGGCGGAAUUCCCGGUGUAGCAGUGAAAUGCGUAGAGAUCGGGAGGAACAUCUGUGGCGAAGGCGGCCAUCUGGACCAGCACUGACACUGAGGCACGAAAGCGUGGGGAGCAAACAGG
RNAcentral lists this ribosomal RNA (676 nucleotides) under Lysobacter sp. Its description in RNAcentral is "bacterial SSU rRNA". It matches the Rfam family "Bacterial small subunit ribosomal RNA", at positions 104 to 776 of the family's 1533-position model. The record is from RNAcentral. Lineage: Bacteria; Pseudomonadati; Pseudomonadota; Gammaproteobacteria; Lysobacterales; Lysobacteraceae.